AUGACUACAUCCCUUUCAACUUGGCUUGGCUGUAUGUCACUGUCAUUCUAUUUGGAUUGUUCCUCAACUCCACCAUACCACUCUUUCUGGAGAUAACUGUAGAGGGCACUUUCCCCAUCGGUGAAGAGACGACCACAAUUAUGAUGACUAUGUUGAAUAAUGUAACUACUCUAGGCUUCCUCGUUCUACCCAUGGUCCCAUCCAUAGUUGACUUUGCUUGGCUGAACUGGGUGAUGCUAGGAUCUGUGGUUAUAUGCAUCCCUCUUAUGGUCUUCUAUAGAGAGCACUACAACCGACUUGACUUUGACGGGAGUCAUCCAGCAAAUGAUGGAAACUCACCAGACAUCUAAUGGAGAAAGUUGUGUUAAUUUGUAGUGAUUAUGUCCCCCCUUCCUGUAUCACUUCACGUUGUCCUUGUUUGCGCACGAUAUUAAGACAUUUUGCAAAACAGAACAUUUUCAAGUAUUUCAGUAUUCACAGAUUUGAAGGGGAAAAAAGAGAUAUUUUACGUAUUAAUUUCACAAAAAGGGUUAUAUAUUUCAAAGAGAAAGUUGUGAUAUGAAUGACACUGGCAAAUUCCUUGAAAAGGGGGUACUUAGUACUUUGUUUGAAUUUUUACUUGAUCAGCCGAAAGAAGGGUUGUAUGUAAAGCCUUUUUUUUAGUUUUUUUCAAGCAAAAAGGGGACAGAUUUUAUGAAAAAUAUUCUUGAAAGUCUUAUCUGAAAUAAGGGGGGGGGAUUUUUUACACCAAUAAACAAUCAUGUUACCCCUUUGAAUAUGAAAUACUGAACACCACCGGAACUUGCCAGUCCUACCCAGGCUAAAUUUUUUACUGCCAUGGGUAGCUUUUAGCACCCAAAUUGUAUAUGGUAUCCAAUAUAUUGAGAAUAGCUUGUCUUUCUUUUUGAAAUUCAAAAUGGAUUCAUGACUGUGAAGUUACAUU
Strongylocentrotus purpuratus (purple sea urchin) is the source of this 943-nucleotide long non-coding RNA. RefSeq lists it as uncharacterized. The record is from RefSeq and is a predicted model, not a curated record. The transcript is spliced from 3 exons. NCBI's taxonomy places the organism in Eukaryota, Metazoa, Echinodermata, Echinoidea, Camarodonta, Strongylocentrotidae.